Long non-coding RNA from Lethenteron reissneri (Far Eastern brook lamprey), 1639 nucleotides. RefSeq lists it as uncharacterized. The record is from RefSeq and is a predicted model, not a curated record. NCBI's taxonomy places the organism in Eukaryota, Metazoa, Chordata, Hyperoartia, Petromyzontiformes, Petromyzontidae.
UUUAAUAGCGCGGGGGGGGGGGGGGACCGGCACCCGUACCCAGCGUUCGCCGGGUGCGAAAAUCAGGCAAGGCGGGAGGCUCUGCACGGUGCUAGGCCUCGACACCCAACACGCCACUCUGAGGUGUUUUUUGUAAAGCAUUUUAUGGCCGUGAGACGUCGUCGCUAUAUCAACAUUAAUUUCACAUCGGCUCAACAGUUCCUCAUCUCUCAGCAUGGGGGCCCCAUGUGUCCAAAGAUAAAAAUCCGUGGAGACACCAAGAUUCUGGCCACCUCGUGGGCACGUGAACAGAGAGUCAUAAGGGAGGCCCUGUGGCUCCACAUCCUUGGAUCAUGAUUUGAAGUUUUCGUGACUGCAAGGAUUCAUACUCUUUGGUCACAGUGCUUUCAUUGACUGGACCAAAUACCAUUGCAAGAUUGAAAAGGUCAGGAAGAGUUUAGCGCGAGCCGCGUUUGAUCGAUACGGAGCAAGUGCACGGACUGAUCCAUAUUCGCCCACCACCUGGAGCUGAUGCCAUCAUCAGAAGCUCAACGUCGACUAAUUGCACCGCACCACCCGAAGCGCGCUUUUCUUUUAUUGCCCGUGACGUUGGUGCUUGCGUUUUUUUUUUCGCAGCAAGCUCGCCGACCAAAUCUGCACGUUACCCUCAAAAGUAAGCCCCCCCCCCCCCGCCAAUGCCGGGUUAAGCUAGUGCGGGGCCUGUAGCAUGUGUUAUAAUGGGGCCCUAAAUAAAAAAAUACACAAGUAAAUAUGAAACGCACAAAUUUGUUAUAUUGCAUAGUAAAGUAAUUGUAUUUUUUUCAUUUGCUAUACAGCCAGAUAAUACGACAGAUCGCUAACCUUAAACACGCCAGUCGUUCAUAAAAGUUGAAGGCGGUAUAGUACUAUAGUAAUAGAGCAAGUGCAGAAUCACUGAACCGGAAAUUGAUAGCAUAGCUUGAAAGCAUUUAGCGCGGGGCCCUUGAAAGUGCGGGGCCCGUAGCAUAUGUGGCUACUUUUGCGACGAGGAUAAUCCCGCACUGCCUCCAUAACCGCCGUGCCACCUCGAGAUCGCUUCCCAAUGCCAAAGGCGUCGUCCGUAGCUGGCAUCAUCCACGCAUGGCACGGCGCUGAGCGCCACCUCCGGCUUGUUAGAGGCACAACAUUACGCCGUGGCUUAUGCAGUGUUGAGUCUAUGGGCAGUGUUGAGUAUAUGGGCAGUGUUUAGUCUAUGGGCAGUGUUGAGUCUAUUGGCAGUGUUGAGUCUGUGGGCAGUGUUGACUCUAUGGGCAGUGUUGAGUCUAUGGGCAGUGUUGAGUAUAUGGGCAGUGUUGAGUCUAUGGGCAGUGUUGAGUCUAUUGGCAGUGUUGAGUCUAUGGGCAGUGUUGAGUCUAUGGGCAGUGUUGAGUAUAUGGGCAGUGUUGAGUCUAUGGGCAGUGUUGAGUCUAUGGGCAGUGUUGAGUCUAUGGGCAGUGUUGAGUCUAUGGGCAGUGUUUAGUCUAUGGGCAGUGUUGAGUCUAUGGGCAGUGUUGAGUCUAUGGGCAGUGUUGAGUCUAUGGGCAGUGUUUAAUCUAUGGGCAGUGUUUAAUCUAUGGGCAGUGUUGAGUCUAUGGGCAGUGUUGAGUCUAUGUGCAGUGUUUAGUCUAUGGGCAGUCAUCUU